This 534-nucleotide ribosomal RNA is filed under the name uncultured bacterium. RNAcentral describes it as "bacterial SSU rRNA". It matches the Rfam family "Bacterial small subunit ribosomal RNA", at positions 94 to 630 of the family's 1533-position model. The record is from RNAcentral.
AGUGGCGGACGGGUGAGGAACACGUGGGUGACCUACCCCCCGGUGAGGAAUACCGCCGAGAAAUCGGCGACAAGACCGCAUAGGCUCGCUCUGUUUGGAGACAGAGUGAGCAAAGCUUCUGUUCGUGAGAACAGAGGCGCCAGGGGAUGGGCCUGCGUCCGAUUAGCUGGUUGGUGGGGUAACGGCUCACCAAGGCUGCGAUCGGUAGCUGGUCUGAGAGGAUGAGCAGCCACACUGGGAUUGAGAACGGCCCAGACUCCUACGGGAGGCAGCAGUGAGGAAUUUUCCACAAUGGGGGCAACCCUGAUGGAGCAACGCCGCGUGCAGGAGGACGCUUUUCGGAGUGUAAACUGCUUUUCCCAGGGAAGAGUAUGGACGGUACCUGGGGAAUAAGCCCCGGCUAACUACGUGCCAGCAGCCGCGGUAAUACGUAGGGGACAAGCGUUGUCCGGAGUUACUGGGCGUAAAGCGCCCGCAGGCGGUCCGUCAUGUUUGCACCGACAGCUCCUGGCUUAACUGGGAGAGCGGUGCGAA